This is a non-coding RNA of Mycena epipterygia, 104 nucleotides long. The record is from the annotation of a GenBank genome assembly. Lineage: Eukaryota; Fungi; Basidiomycota; Agaricomycetes; Agaricales; Mycenaceae.
ACCCUGGUGGCUCAGUUGGUCAGAGCGCCUGAUUUUGUGCAUUUUGUUGAGAACAACAACAUCACAUAAGCAGGUUUUCACUGGUUCAAUUCCGGUCCAAGGCG